Molecule: ribosomal RNA, 253 nt
Filed under: uncultured bacterium
Lineage: Bacteria
Description: partial 16S ribosomal RNA
Rfam family: Bacterial small subunit ribosomal RNA
Source: RNAcentral
UACGUAGGGUGCGAGCGUUGUCCGGAAUUAUUGGGCGUAAAGGGCUCGUAGGCGGUUUGUCGCGUCGGGAGUGAAAACACCGGGCUUAACUCGGUGCUUGCUUUCGAUACGGGCAGACUAGAGGCAUGCAGGGGAGAACGGAAUUCCUGGUGUAGCGGUGGAAUGCGUAGAGAUCCGGAGGAACACCAGCGGCGAAGGCGGCAUCCUGGACUGGUCCUGACACUCAGGAGCGAAAGCGUGGGGAGCGAUCCGG